AUUGAACGCUGGCGGCAUGCUUUACACAUGCAAGUCGAACGGCAGCGCGGGCCUCGGCCUGGCGGCGAGUGGCGAACGGGUGAGUAAUACAUCGGAACGUGCCCAGUAGUGGGGGAUAGCUCGGCGAAAGCCGGAUUAAUACCGCAUACGACCUGAGGGUGAAAGCGGGGGAUCUUCGGACCUCGCGCUAUUGGAGCGGCCGAUGGCAGAUUAGCUAGUUGGUGGGGUAAAGGCCUACCAAGGCGACGAUCUGUAGCUGGUCUGAGAGGACGACCAGCCACACUGGGACUGAGACACGGCCCAGACUCCUACGGGAGGCAGCAGUGGGGAAUUUUGGACAAUGGGCGAAAGCCUGAUCCAGCAAUGCCGCGUGUGUGAUGAAGGCCUUCGGGUUGUAAAGCACUUUUGGCGGGAACGAAAAAGACUGUGCCAAUACCACGGUUCGAUGACGGUACCCGCAGAAUAAGCACCGGCUAACUACGUG
RNAcentral lists this ribosomal RNA (484 nucleotides) under uncultured bacterium. RNAcentral's name for it is "partial 16S ribosomal RNA". It matches the Rfam family "Bacterial small subunit ribosomal RNA", at positions 29 to 507 of the family's 1533-position model. The record is from RNAcentral.